AUACAGAGGGUGCAAGCGUUAAUCGGAUUUACUGGGCGUAAAGCGCGCGUAGGUGGCUAAUUAAGUCAAAUGUGAAAUCCCCGAGCUUAACUUGGGAAUUGCAUUCGAUACUGGUUAGCUAGAGUAUGGGAGAGGAUGGUAGAAUUCCAGGUGUAGCGGUGAAAUGCGUAGAGAUCUGGAGGAAUACCGAUGGCGAAGGCGACCAUCUGGCCUAAGACUGCCACUGAGGUGCGAAAGCAUGGGGAGCAAACAGGAGUAGAUACCCUGGUAGUCCAUGCCGUAAACGAUGUCUACUAGCCGUUGGGGCCCUUGAGGCUUUAGUGGCGCAGCUAACGCGAUAAGUAGACCGCCUGGGGAGUACGGUCGCAAGACUAAAACUCAAAUGAAUUGGCGGGG
This 396-nucleotide ribosomal RNA is filed under the name uncultured bacterium. RNAcentral's name for it is "partial 16S ribosomal RNA". It matches the Rfam family "Bacterial small subunit ribosomal RNA", at positions 523 to 918 of the family's 1533-position model. The record is from RNAcentral.